RNAcentral lists this ribosomal RNA (531 nucleotides) under unidentified oral bacterium AP60-16. RNAcentral's name for it is "bacterial SSU rRNA". It matches the Rfam family "Bacterial small subunit ribosomal RNA", at positions 8 to 521 of the family's 1533-position model. The record is from RNAcentral.
AGAGUUUGAUCCUGGCUCAGGAUGAACGCUGGCGGCGUGCCUAAUACAUGCAAGUAGAACGCUGAAGGAAGGAGCUUGCUCUUUCCGGAUGAGUUGCGAACGGGUGAGUAACGCGUAGGUAACCUGCCUGGUAGCGGGGGAUAACUAUUGGAAACGAUAGCUAAUACCGCAUAACAACAGUUGUUGCAUGACAGCUGUUUAAAAGGUGCAAAUGCACCACUACCAGAUGGACCUGCGUUGUAUUAGCUAGUUGGUGAGGUAACGGCUCACCAAGGCGACGAUACAUAGCCGACCUGAGAGGGUGAUCGGCCACACUGGGACUGAGACACGGCCCAGACUCCUACGGGAGGCAGCAGUAGGGAAUCUUCGGCAAUGGACGGAAGUCUGACCGAGCAACGCCGCGUGAGUGAAGAAGGUUUUCGGAUCGUAAAGCUUUGUUGUAAGAGAAGAACGAGUGUGAGAGUGGAAAGUUCACACUGUGACGGUAUCUUACCAGAAAGGGACGGCUAACUACGUGCCAGCAGCCGCGGU